Molecule: long non-coding RNA, 1231 nt
Organism: Pangasianodon hypophthalmus (striped catfish)
Lineage: Eukaryota; Metazoa; Chordata; Actinopteri; Siluriformes; Pangasiidae
Exons: 4
Source: RefSeq, a predicted model, not a curated record
UUCUACUGAAAUGUGAAGUGUGUGUGUGUGUGCGUGUGUGUGUGAUUAAAAAGCUGAGAAACAGGAGACUCUCUUUGCUGUCUCAGAGAAACUACAGAGAAAAUAAGACAUCUAUUUUAGUUUUUUUUUUUCCGUGGGCCUUUUUUUUUUCAAAGUGUUGUAUGCUGGGUAAAGAUCCACACCCCCUACACACAGAUAAACCAGCAUAUGAUUUGCUCAACAGAUCGUUUCCUCUUUGUCUCUUGGCUGAUACACAAUGGUUCAGUUUUUAACUCUGCAUGUGUUUCUCUGUGCCAUGGGUUUGCUCUCUGAGACUCUGUGCUCUUUAACUUUGGAGGCAGAAGCUGGAGAUAAUGUCACUAUUUGGUGCCAACAUUACCUGACUGAUCCAGGUUCCAUCUACUGGUUUAAACACACGAGUGAUUCAGUUCCACUUCUUCUUGGGUGCAAAAAGUUUAGAACAUCAGCUCCAUCACAACCGUGUUACUUCUUUACUGAAAGUGAGAGAAUAGUGAUGUCUGUUCAUGGCAAGAACACGUCUCUCACAGUCACUGCAGUAAAUGUCUCUGAUAGAGGACUGUAUUACUGCAGCUUUAUAGAACUGGACCAGGUUAACUUUAGAAACUCGAUCUUUUUAGAAGUGAAAGGUAAAUUUAUAAGUGAAUAGUUGCAGUAAAAGUUGAUUGAGAUGACUGCGAUUAUAAAGAUAAUGUUUCUUUUUUCAGGUGUAAAUAAAACAUUUACUGAGGACAAAGUAACAGGUCUGUUGUUUUCUUCUCAUGAAGGCUUCUGUACAUCUUUAAAUUAAAAUAUGAUGCAGGUUUAGGGAUCAAAAUGUUUUCUUUAAUAUUUUUCUCCGAGGUUCAAACUCUUCUGCUGUGUUCUUCAUGCUGACUGUGGUGUUUGGUGCCGUGAUUGUGAUUCUUCUCAGUGUCCUGAUCUUCAUCAUACUGAAGCACAGAAAAGCUCAGAGAGGUGCUGAAGCAGAAGCUAAUGAGGUUGCUGACUCGGACUCGGUGCAUUACGCUGCACUUCACUUCUCUAAGAAUAAAACCAACAGAAUCAUGAGACAUGAUGAAAUGGUGGAUCCACAUGUGGUAUAUUCUUCAGUCGAACAGAGUAAUGUGUGUACGUAAUGUCAAAUAUCAUUACUGUUUACUUAAUAUGAAGCAGAUGUUUCUGAUGGUCCAUGUUUGGAAGAAAUAUAUCAUUUGUAACAUCACAUUUACAA